This is a long non-coding RNA of Oncorhynchus tshawytscha (Chinook salmon), 603 nucleotides long. NCBI's taxonomy places the organism in Eukaryota, Metazoa, Chordata, Actinopteri, Salmoniformes, Salmonidae. The record is from Ensembl.
GCCAAGUGGUUAGAGUGUAGAGGAGGCAGGUAGCCUAGUGGUUAGAGUGUAGAGGAGGCAGGUAGCCUAGUGGUUAGAGUGUAGAGGAGGCAGGUAGCCUAGUGGUUAGAGUGUAGAGGAGGUAGGUAGCCUAGUGGUUAGAGUGUAGAGGAGGCAGGGUAGCCUAGUGGUUAGAGUGUAGAGGAGGUAGCCUAGUGGUUAGAGUGUAGAGGAGGCAGGGUAGCCUAGUGGUUAGAGUGUAGAGGCAGGUAGCCUAGUGGUUAGAGUGUAGAGGAGGCAGGUAGCCUAGUGGUUAGAGUGUAGAGGAGGCAGGUAGCCUGGUGGUUAGAGUGUAGAGGUGGCAGGUAGCCUAGUGGUUAGAGUGUAGAGGAGGUAGGUAGCCUAGUGGUUAGAGUGUAGAGGAGGCAGGUAGCCUAGUGGUUAGAGUGUAGAGGAGGUAGGUAGCCUAGUGGUUAGAGUGUAGAGGAGGUAGGUAGCCUAGUGGUUAGAGUGUAGAGGAGGCAGGUAGCCUAGUGGUUAGAGUGUAGAGGAGGCAGGGUAGCCUAGUGGUUAGAGUGUAGAGGAGGCAGGUAGCCUAGCGGUUAGAUUGUAGAGGUGGCAGGG